CCCUAUGGGGUGCGGAAUGGAUGAAAAAACAAAAGAACGUAUAUUUGAACCUUUCUUCACUACGAAGGAGAAGGGUAAGGGAACCGGUCUGGGACUUGCCACCAUAUACGGAAUUGUGAAACAGAGUGAAGGUUUUAUUUACGUGUAUAGCGAGUUGGGGAAAGGAACGGCCUUUAAGGUAUAUCUGCCUCGAGUGGAAGAAAGCAAUGAAGAAAUCCACAAAGAGAUUCUUUCCGAAGGCUCUUUGAAUGGAACGGAAACAGUUCUCCUUGUGGAGGAUGACGAGGGAGUCCGCCAGUCGAUCAAAAGGAUGCUGCAACAGUAUAACUAUACCCUUGUAAUAGCGGCUAAUGGCAAGGAAGCCAUAGAGGAUUAUGAAAAAUAUAAUGGAAAGAUUGACUUACUCUUGACGGAUGUGGUGAUGCCUGGAAUUGGCGGGAGAGC
Molecule: ribosomal RNA, 444 nt
Filed under: uncultured prokaryote
Description: partial 16S ribosomal RNA
Source: RNAcentral